AGCCGGGCCCAGUCCAGGUCCCAGAGCCCAGGGGAGCUUGUCAAGAAGCCUGUGCCCGGCCUCAGGCUCGCCUCCCUUGCCCACUGGCCAGACUCCUCUGAUGAGCCCGGGCUCUGUGCUGGCACUGGCUACCCCUGAGCAGGCACUGAGGGCCUGGGAGUGAGCAAUGGGGUGAAGGGGCAAGUUGGUGGCACACCCUGCACCGUGGCGGGGCCCAUGAGGCACAGCGCCCUACGGUGCAGGAGCUGCACCCAGGACCGUGGGUGUCACUGCACAGAAAGGGCCGGCACGUAAAGAGCGCCCAACGCAGGGACUCGGAAGAGCACCUGACACUGCGGAAACAGGACAGAGAGCAGACCCAAGGCAGCUUCUGGAAAACGGAGCCCAGGAAGCGCUGCGAGCUCUGCCGACUCCAAAUCCAGGCUCUUCCUGCAGCAGGAGCAGGGUCCAGCCCACGGUGCUCCCCAGAGGCCUCCAGACUCUCCCAACCAUGGCCUCCUGUCCCCCAC
This 509-nucleotide long non-coding RNA is filed under the name Marmota monax (woodchuck). The record is from RNAcentral. Lineage: Eukaryota; Metazoa; Chordata; Mammalia; Rodentia; Sciuridae.